GAUGAACGCUGGCGGCGUGCCUAAUACAUGCAAGUCGAGCGAACGGACGAGAAGCUUGCUUCUCUGAUGUUAGCGGCGGACGGGUGAGUAACACGUGGAUAACCUCCCUAUAAGACUGGGAUAACUUCGGGAAACCGGAGCUAAUACCGGAUAAUAUUUUGAACCGCAUGGUUCAAAAGUGAAAGACGGUCUUGCUGUCACUUAUAGAUGGAUCCGCGCUGCAUUAGCUAGUUGGUAAGGUAACGGCUUACCAAGGCAACGAUGCAUAGCCGACCUGAGAGGGUGAUCGGCCACACUGGAACUGAGACACGGUCCAGACUCCUACGGGAGGCAGCAGUAGGGAAUCUUCCGCAAUUGGCGAAAGCCUGACGGAGCAACGCCGCGUGAGUGAUGAAGGUCUUCGGAUCGUAAAACUCUGUUAUUAGGGAAGAACAUAUGUGUAAGUAACUGUGCACAUCUUGACGGUACCUAAUCAGAAAGCCACGGCUAACUACGUG
Molecule: ribosomal RNA, 497 nt
Filed under: uncultured bacterium
Lineage: Bacteria
Description: partial 16S ribosomal RNA
Rfam family: Bacterial small subunit ribosomal RNA
Source: RNAcentral